UCGUCCUCAAGAAUUGUACUGCAAACUGACAUGUGUUCCUAUUUUGUCCAAGAAGACCCAUUUCACCAUUCUACAUAUUCUUUUGAAUUCUGGUUUUGCAUUUCACCAUUCUCCGAGGAAAUGCUUUGGUCAUUUCCUGCAAUUGGUUGUUGAUAUCCUCGUUGGUCGUAAGAGUAUUCUUAAAAAAUUUAUCCUCCUCCUUAGUCUAAAAGGGG
This 215-nucleotide long non-coding RNA is filed under the name Solanum tuberosum (potato). RNAcentral's name for it is "long non-coding RNA (STUB_LNC010734)". Lineage: Eukaryota; Viridiplantae; Streptophyta; Magnoliopsida; Solanales; Solanaceae. The record is from RNAcentral.